Molecule: non-coding RNA, 30 nt
Filed under: Rattus norvegicus (Norway rat)
Lineage: Eukaryota; Metazoa; Chordata; Mammalia; Rodentia; Muridae
Source: RNAcentral
GGGUUUCAUGUUACAAUGUCUGUCUAAUGG